This 429-nucleotide ribosomal RNA is filed under the name Gemmatimonadota bacterium. Its description in RNAcentral is "Gemmatimonadetes bacterium partial 16S ribosomal RNA". It matches the Rfam family "Bacterial small subunit ribosomal RNA", at positions 355 to 776 of the family's 1533-position model. The record is from RNAcentral. Lineage: Bacteria; Pseudomonadati; Gemmatimonadota.
UAGGGAAUCUUCGGCAAUGGACGAAAGUCUGACCGAGCAACGCCGCGUGAGUGAAGAAGGUUUUUGGAUCGUAAAACUCUGUUGUUAGAGAAGAACAAGGACGUUAGUAACUGAACGUCCCCUGACGGUAUCUAACCAGAAAGCCACGGCUAACUACGUGCCAGCAGCCGCGGUAAUACGUAGGUGGCAAGCGUUGUCCGGAUUUAUUGGGCGUAAAGCGAGCGCAGGCGGUUUCUUAAGUCUGAUGUGAAGGCCCCCGGCUCAACCGGGGAGGGUCAUUGGAAACUGGGAGAAUUGAGUGCAGAAGAGGAGGGUGGAAUUCCAUGUGUGGCGGUGAAAUGCGUGGAGAUAUGGAGGAACACCAGUGGCGAAGGCGGCUCUCUGGUCUGUAACUGACGCUGAGGCUCGAAAGCGUGGGGAGCAAACAGG